GCCUAGGUAGCUUGGAGGGUAGGGGGUCUGGCUUUUAAGCGCUAGUCCGCGGGUUCGAGUCCCGCCCGGGGCG
Molecule: transfer RNA, 73 nt
Filed under: Diaphorina citri (Asian citrus psyllid)
Lineage: Eukaryota; Metazoa; Arthropoda; Insecta; Hemiptera; Psyllidae
Rfam family: tRNA
About the family: Transfer RNA (tRNA) molecules are approximately 80 nucleotides in length. Their secondary structure includes four short double-helical elements and three loops (D, anti-codon, and T loops). Further hydrogen bonds mediate the characteristic L-shaped molecular structure. tRNAs have two regions of fundamental functional importance: the anti-codon, which is responsible for specific mRNA codon recognition, and the 3' end, to which the tRNAs corresponding amino acid is attached (by aminoacyl-tRNA synthetases). tRNAs cope with the degeneracy of the genetic code in two manners: having more than one tRNA (with a specific anti-codon) for a particular amino acid; and 'wobble' base-pairing, i.e. permitting non-standard base-pairing at the 3rd anti-codon position.
Source: Rfam by way of RNAcentral